RNAcentral lists this ribosomal RNA (460 nucleotides) under uncultured bacterium. RNAcentral's name for it is "partial 16S ribosomal RNA". It matches the Rfam family "Bacterial small subunit ribosomal RNA", at positions 338 to 795 of the family's 1533-position model. The record is from RNAcentral.
CCUACGGGUGGCAGCAGUGAGGAAUAUUGGUCAAUGGACGAGAGUCUGAACCAGCCAAGCCGCGUGAAGGAUGACUGCCCUAUGGGUUGUAAACUUCUUUUAUAAAGGAAUAAAACGAGGCACGUGUGCCUUUUUGCAUGUACUUUAUGAAUAAGGAUCGGCUAACUCCGUGCCAGCAGCCGCGGUAAUACGGAGGAUCCGAGCGUUAUCCGGAUUUAUUGGGUUUAAAGGGAGCGUAGGUGGGUUGUUAAGUCAGUUGGGAAAGUUUGUGGCUCAACCGUAAAAUUGCAAUUGAUACUGGCAGUCUUGAGUACAGGUGAGGUAGGCGGAAUUCGUGGUGUAGCGGUGAAAUGCUUAGAUAUCACGAAGAACCCCGAUUGCGAAGGCAGCUUACUAAACUGUGACUGACAUUGAUGCUCGAAAGUGUGGGUAUCAAACAGGAUUAGAUACCCCGGUAGUC